This 460-nucleotide ribosomal RNA is filed under the name uncultured bacterium. Its description in RNAcentral is "partial 16S ribosomal RNA". It matches the Rfam family "Bacterial small subunit ribosomal RNA", at positions 338 to 795 of the family's 1533-position model. The record is from RNAcentral.
CCUACGGGUGGCAGCAGUGAGGAAUAUUGGUCAAUGGACGAGAGUCUGAACCAGCCAAGUAGCGUGAAGGAUGACUGCCCUCUGGGUUGUAAACUUCUUUUAUAUGAGAAUAAAAUGUUCCACGUGUGGGAUUUUGUAUGUACCAUAUGAAUAAGGAUCGGCUAACUCCGUGCCAGCAGCCGCGGUAAUACGGAGGAUCCGAGCGUUAUCCGGAUUUAUUGGGUGUAAAGGGAGCGUAGGUGGAUUGUUAAGUCAGUUGUGAAAGUUUGCGGCUCAACCGUAAAAUUGCAGUUGAAACUGGCAUGCUUGAGUACAGUAGAGGUGAGCGGAAUUCGUGGUGUAGCGGUGAAAUGCUUAGAUAUCACGAAGAACUCCGAAUGCGAAGGCAGUUCACUGGACUGCAACUGACACUGAGGCUCGAAAGUGUGGGUAGCAAACAGGAUUAGAUACCCUUGUAGUC